RNAcentral lists this long non-coding RNA (1143 nucleotides) under Betta splendens (Siamese fighting fish). RNAcentral describes it as "lncRNA (ENSBSLG00000008064.1)". Lineage: Eukaryota; Metazoa; Chordata; Actinopteri; Anabantiformes; Osphronemidae. The record is from RNAcentral.
AUGGCCGCUGCUCGUUUCACCGCCGCACAGGUUCUAGAGCAGAUUUUUUUAAGCCAAUCUAAUGACGACUCUGAACCAGAAGAGGAAUCUGAGGAAGACGUGUCAAGUGAAGAAGAGAAAGAAAAAGGAGAAGCAGAAGAAGCAGAUACAGCAGGACCAGAAACAGAUGAAGGACAAAAAGACAGCGAGGGAUGUGAUCUAAGGCUGGACACUUCAGAUGAAGAAGUUGAUGAUGAAGAAUAUAAUGAUGAUGAUGAUGAAGAAGUUGAUGAUGAAGAAUAUAAUGAUGAUGAUGAUGAUGAUGAAGAUGAUGAUGAAAUAAUAGAAAAUGUGCAAAGACUGGAGCAAAUAGAACUCGAGGAUGAAGAAGAAGAAAAAGAAGAAGAAGAAGAUAAAACUUUUAUCUCUAAAGACGGGAAAAUAAAAUGGUCCUCCGCUGCGUUUCGCAACGGCGAGGAAGCGAGGAACGUCCCUCUUAGUCCUCUUUCUGCCCAGGGACCCACAGAGUACGCGGCGGCUCAGGCGGUCGACUUUGAAUCGACCUUCCGCAUGUUUGUGACCCCGGCGGUGGAAAGGAUCGUCCUGGAGAACACCAACCUGGAGGGCUCUCGAAAGCUCGGGAGCGCCUGGAAGGGCAUGGACGAGGUCGACCUGCGAGCCUACUUGGGCCUCCUGAUUUUGUCCGGCGUCUACAGGUCCCGAGGGGAGGCCGUGGCCAGCCUGUGGGACGCCGAGAGCGGCAGGGCCAUUUUUCGCGCCACGAUGUCGCUCAAGUUGUUUCACGCUUACUCGAAGCUGUUGCGUUUCGACGAUCGCCAAACGAGACCCGCCAGGCGAGCGACGGACAAACUGGCAGCCGUGAGAGAGGUCUGGGACGCGUGGGUGGAGCGGCUGCCCAGCCUCUACGACCCGGGUCCUAACGUGACGGUGGACGAGCAACUGGUACCUUUCAGAGGUAAAGCAAAAAAAAAAAAAACCAUGCAGACACAGACACAGACAUACAAACACAGGCAGACACACACACACACACACACACACACACGCAGACAUGCAGACACAGGCACAGACACACACACAUACACACACAGGCACAUAGACACAAAAAAAUAUAUUUUUAAAAAUCUCACCUUUAUUUUUUGUAGG